Molecule: long non-coding RNA, 685 nt
Organism: Eublepharis macularius
Lineage: Eukaryota; Metazoa; Chordata; Lepidosauria; Squamata; Eublepharidae
Exons: 4
Source: RefSeq, a predicted model, not a curated record
GAGGCUGCCUUUGUGUGUGUUUAAGAGAGACUGCAUGGAACUGCAGAGGGCUAAGAUGCUUACACCAACCAGCUUCUGGGGAGAAACUAUAUGUAAAGGAAUAUGGAAUAAAAACGAACUCCUAAGAUGUACAACGGAACAUAAUGAAGAUCUGUUUCUCAGUUCGAACAAAACUUGGAAACUUUCCUCAGCUUUCUGAUCCACCGCCUAUGUGAUGAUGUAAAGAAAACUCAGAGUAAGGGUGCCAAAGGACCUCCUCCUCCUUUUCUAAAACCCUCUAUUGCAAAAUGGUCACUUUCCGCAGGCAUAGUGCAUCUAUCUAGUUACCAAGGAAUUUAAGAAAGGGAUUCUACAAGAUGAGAAGAACAAGAUAUCCUUAUUAUUGAAUAUACUGUUUGUUCUUAUGGUGGCUCUUAUUUUUGUGUCCUAUAGUUCAUGGUGGUUUAACAAAACAAAGCAUUGAGUGGGAUAAAAAUUCCACAAAGCUAGAUAAAGGUCACCAAAAACAGAUGGGGCUUCCAUUGAUUCAUCUACUCUAAUUUUUUGUAUGCUCACUGGCAAAGGCUCCUUUCUGUACCUUAAAAAAGGUACAAACAUUUUUACUGAACAUAAGCUCAGCUGUAAAACAUGAAUGUCAUAAUUAAAAUAACCAAAUCAUUAACAUUUUAAUUAAAAAAAAUGUGAG